AGUGAACGCUGGCGGUAGGCCUAACACAUGCAAGUCGAACGGCAGCACAGUAAGAGCUUGCUCUUACGGGUGGCGAGUGGCGGACGGGUGAGGAAUACAUCGGAAUCUACUUUUUCGUGGGGGAUAACGUAGGGAAACUUAUGCUAAUACCGCAUACGACCUACGGGUGAAAGCAGGGGAUCUUCGGACCUUGCGCGAUUGAAUGAGCCGAUGUCGGAUUAGCUAGUUGGCGGGGUAAAGGCCCACCAAGGCGACGAUCCGUAGCUGGUCUGAGAGGAUGAUCAGCCACACUGGAACUGAGACACGGUCCAGACUCCCACGGGAGGCAGCAGUGGGGAAUAUUGGACAAUGGGCGCAAGCCUGAUCCAGCCAUACCGCGUGGGUGAAGAAGGCCUUCGGGUUGUAAAGCCCUUUUGUUGGGAAAGAAAAGCAGCAGGUUAAUACCCCGCUGUUCUGACGGUACCCAAAGAAUAAGCACCGGCUAACUUCGUG
Molecule: ribosomal RNA, 492 nt
Filed under: uncultured bacterium
Lineage: Bacteria
Description: partial 16S ribosomal RNA
Rfam family: Bacterial small subunit ribosomal RNA
Source: RNAcentral